GAUGAACGCUGGCGGCGUACCUAAUACAUGCCAGUCGAGCGAACGGACGAGAAGCUUGCUUCUCUGAUGUUAGCGGCGGACGGGUGAGUAACACGUGGAUAACCUACCUAUAAGACUGGGAUAACUUCGGGAAACCGGAGCUAAUACCGGAUGAUAUUUUGAACCGCAUGGUUCAAAAGUGAAAGACGGUCUUGCUGUCACUUAUAGAUGGAUCCGCGCUGCAUUAGCUAGUUGGUAAGGUAACGGCUUACCAAGGCAACGAUGCAUAGCCGACCUGAGAGGGUGAUCGGCCACACUGGAACUGAGACACGGUCCAGACUCCUACGGGAGGCAGCAGUAGGGAAUCUUCCGCAAUGGGCGAAAGCCUGACGGAGCAACGCCGCGUGAGUGAUGAAGGUCUUCGGAUCGUAAAACUCUGUUAUUAGGGAAGAACAUAUGUGUAAGUAACUGUGCACAUCUUGACGGUACCUAAUCAGAAAGCCACGGCUAACUACGUG
RNAcentral lists this ribosomal RNA (497 nucleotides) under uncultured bacterium. RNAcentral describes it as "partial 16S ribosomal RNA". It matches the Rfam family "Bacterial small subunit ribosomal RNA", at positions 28 to 507 of the family's 1533-position model. The record is from RNAcentral.